GGGAUCUGUCCAGUGUUCUUCAUCCAAUCAUGCUCUAAGGACCUCACCUGAAAAAUAACGAUUGUUAUGCAGGCACAAGGCAACCUUGCGACAACAGCACUAGCCACAGAACAUGGGGCACAAAGAAAUGAACUACCGCCACACAAGUUCAGUUCAACAAGACCCUGUUUUACCCUGAAGAGAUGAUAGUGCAACUCUUUGCAGCAGAGGCAAAAGGGUUUCCUCCUCCCUCCCUGGAAAAGGACACUGCUGCCUUGCAUCAAGUCCUGUUACUAUAGUAGAACCAGUGAAGAAGGGCGAAAGAGCCGGGUUCUUUUCUGCCUCAUGCAUCACUAUCCACCUACAAAAUCUAAUAGAGGAUAAAUCAUAUUCUCAGGUCAGGCAGAACUAGCAAGAAGACGAAGGCUGUGCUAAGAAGAGGAAGCCGCCACGGGACAGCUAAGCCUAAGCAACAGGCUGAAGGAUGUGGGGCAGGUAGGAAAGAGAGAGCGUCCAGCAAGUGGGAGGGUUUUAUUACAAGCAGAGACUGGAAGACUGCUGAGAAGCGAAGGAAGUGGAUGCACUGCCAGGCCUCACAGAUGAUGGAAGAAACUUCUGAGGGACACAGAGGAGACUGUGUACAGUUUGCUGUAAACCAGAAAGUCAUUAAUUU
RNAcentral lists this long non-coding RNA (652 nucleotides) under Struthio camelus australis. Its description in RNAcentral is "lncRNA (ENSSCUG00000012885.1)". The record is from RNAcentral. Lineage: Eukaryota; Metazoa; Chordata; Aves; Struthioniformes; Struthionidae.